This 406-nucleotide ribosomal RNA is filed under the name uncultured bacterium. RNAcentral's name for it is "bacterial SSU rRNA". It matches the Rfam family "Bacterial small subunit ribosomal RNA", at positions 354 to 777 of the family's 1533-position model. The record is from RNAcentral.
GUGGGGGAUAUUGCACAAUGGGGGAAACCCUGAUGCAGCGACGCCGCGUGAGUGAAGAAGUAUUUCGGUAUGUAAAGCUCUAUCAGCAGGGAAGAGGAUGACAGUACCUGAGUAAGAAGCCCCGGCUAACUACGUGCCAGCAGCCGCGGUAAUACGUAGGGGGCAAGCGUUAUCCGGAUUUACUGGGUGUAAAGGGAGCGUAGACGGAUGGAUAAGUCUGAAGUGAAAGCCCGCGGCUCAACUGCGGGACUGCUUUGGAAACUGUGCAUCUUGAGUACGGGAGGGGCAGGCGGAAUUCCUGGUGUAGCGGUGAAAUGCGUAGAUAUCAGGAGGAACACCGGCGGCGAAGGCGGCCUGCUGGACCGAAACUGACGUUGAGGCUCGAAAGCGUGGGGAGCAAACAGGA